CCGUCGGCGGCGGCGCGGCGCGGCGUCGGCAAUUCGCGAGCAUGUGUCUGUGUGUGCUCUGUCACGAUCUGGCCACACACACUACCGUACGUGAAGGUCGAAUAUUUAUCCCGACUCGUCGGUCUAUUGGUUCACGAAUCGACACUGCGAUAAUGAAGGAGGUCCCACUCGCUCUGCGGCAAAAGUGUGUCCGGCGAAAGGGACGGGCGGCUAGCUGCGCGUGCGCCGCCGGAGCCUCCGCCGCUGCCGGCGCGGCCGCCCUCAUCAGUCUCCCCGCGACGGGGAAGCGGUUCGCGUGUGCAACUCCGUGUCGAGCUGCGGGCUCCGAGCCUUGCGACGCACACGAAUAUUUUUAGAUAACAGCACGAAUAAUUUAUUCGUAAGGUAGUGAUCGCGCGCACUUUUGCGGAUAUCGGUAUCGGCGCAUGCGGGUUCGCGUGCGCUGCAACGACCGUCAGGCGCAGGCCACCGUUGGCAAAGUCCCGAUAGGAGUGAUGGCGCAAACGCAGGGGUUUGUCUACGCUAUUUUAGUCCAACGGUUACCAGACUUAGUCUUCAAAAUGCAUAGAAACAGCCACUAAACUGAUGUCGAUGAUGGAGUGUACCAGCAGCACGGUUCCUGAGUCAGCAUGAUGUCAUGCACGCGGUAAUGGGAGCGUCCCGCCACUCGCGUCACGUCUCAUUCCCGCCGCAUACUUCACCCAAUCGAGCGAUGACAAAUCCAUUCAUAUUCUUCCAUUGUGCCUAACUGUUUAUGUUUGAAGCUAGAUUCUUGCCAUUCCAACGUAAUUAACGUUCAUAAUCGCGAGCCAUCUCUUUGUAACAGACUGGUUCUGCUCGUUUUAAUUGCAAAAAUGUAAUUUACGAAGGUGUUUGAAGAAAAUCAUCGAGAAAAUUGAAGAAAGAAGACAAAUUGCAAAGAAGAUAAAAGGAAUUACGAAACUGGUUUUCAUAAUGAUUUGACAGAUUGUUCCAUAUUCUGAGAUCAUUGUGAAAGCUGAUUUUGUUCCUAUGUCUACGGUCGGAGUCCACAAGAACAGUCAAUUUGAGAUACAAGAAGAUGAACAAGAAAGCUGUCAACAUAUCAUAAACCUUUUUAAUGUAUUUGUUUGUUUAUUGUAAGAAUAUUAUAUGUAUGGAUCAGGAAAUUA
Molecule: long non-coding RNA, 1151 nt
Organism: Amyelois transitella
Lineage: Eukaryota; Metazoa; Arthropoda; Insecta; Lepidoptera; Pyralidae
Exons: 3
Source: RefSeq, a predicted model, not a curated record